CGGUCUCACAGGGCCCUCUCUGGAUGAAAAUGACAGCAGGUAUGCCGCUCGUCUUCGCCCGUCUGUUCUCCGCUUUGAGUCUACAGAUGCUGGGGUAAGUCCUGCCGUCGCUGCCGCACACUGGCUCAUGGGAGUCGCAGACGCACGUGCUGCGUUCAGCGCUCCGCUCUUCACAGGUCAUCCCCGCACCGCACACUCCAAGUCUAUCUUCUCCACAAUAGUCUCCCUCUCCUGCCGCACACACCGAGCAGCAGCCACAGCUGUCCAUCACCACGCCGAAAUAACAAUACUCCAGAGAAGAUGAGCAGCGGGACAGGUCGCACUGAUGCGCGCAUGUAGAGUGUCUCUUCCGUAGAACGCGCGCAUGCAGCGUCGAGGCCAUGAAAACACAGGCCAGCAGCUUCCACAUCAUGAACGAUAAUACAAUUCUCACCAAUAGAUAUACACGGUGUGUGAAUUGUGCUGACUCCAGACUUGAUGUGGAUGUUUUAUACUUCAAAAGAACUACACAUGAAUACUGACAAUCUCGCCAGAAAACUCGCCAGCAUCCUGUCCAUUAACACCUAAGAUAUACAG
RNAcentral lists this long non-coding RNA (576 nucleotides) under Danio rerio (zebrafish). RNAcentral's name for it is "si:dkey-49o11.3 (ENSDARG00000097723.3)". The record is from RNAcentral. Lineage: Eukaryota; Metazoa; Chordata; Actinopteri; Cypriniformes; Danionidae.